This 1502-nucleotide ribosomal RNA is filed under the name Candidatus Thorarchaeota archaeon. Its description in RNAcentral is "bacterial SSU rRNA". It matches the Rfam family "Archaeal small subunit ribosomal RNA". Lineage: Archaea; Promethearchaeati; Candidatus Thorarchaeota. The record is from RNAcentral.
ACUCUAGUUGAUCCUGCUAGAGGACACUGCUAUCGGCUUGGGGAUAAGACAUGCAAGUGGAACGGGCUCGCAUCCGAGUCCGUCGCGAACGGCUCAGUAGUGUCGCUAACCUACCCUGUGGAGGUGGACAACGCCGGGAAACUGGCGGUAAUCCAUCAUAGGAGCGUCGUUCUGGAAAUGAUGUUGCUCUGAAACGGAUGUUCCAGGUAUGUGGAACUCUCCGCCGCAGGACGGGGCGGCACCGGAUCAUACUUGUAAGUGGGGUAACUGCCCACUUAGGUUAUGACCCGAACGGGCGAUGUAAGUCGUGGCCCGGAGAAGGGCACUGAGACAAGGGCCCUAGCCCCACGGGGCGCAGCAGUUACGAGACCUCACCAAUGCGCGAAAGCGUGAGUGGGCUAAGCCGAGUGAUGGGGGAUAACUCCAUCUGUGGCGGAUCCGUAAGACGGACCGCUAGAAAGGAGAGGGCAAGGCUGGUGCCAGCCGCCGCGGUAAAACCAGCUCUUCGAGUGGUGUCCAUAAUUAUUGAGCUUAAAGCGUUCGUAGCCGGUUUGGUAGGUCCCUGCUUAAAUCUGGCCGCUUAACGGUCAGUCUGGUAGGGAUACCGCUUUACUUGGGGACGGGAGACGAUGACGGUAUUCCGUAGGUAAGGGUGAAAUCUAAUGAUCUACGGAGGACCACCAGUGGCGAAGGCGGUCAUCGAGAACGUGCCCGACGGUGAGGGACGAAACCCAGGGGAGCAAAUCGGAUUAGAUACCCGAGUAGUCCUGGGCGUAAACGAUGUCCGUUAAGUGUUGCAUUGGCCACGAGCCACUGCAGUGCUGUAGCGAAAGCGAUAAACGGACCGCUUGGGAAGUACGGUCGCAAGACUGAAACUUAAAGGAAUUGGCGGGGGAGCACCACAAGGGGUGGAGCUUGCGGUUUAAUUGGACUCAACGCCGGAAAACUUACCCGCCCAGACAGCCGAAUGAGAGCCAGACUGAUGAUCUUGCUCGACGAGCUGAGAGCUGGUGCAUGGCCAUCGUAAAUUCGUGCCGUGAGGUAUCAGCUUAAGUGCUGCAACGAAUGAGAUCCCUGCCACCUAGUUGCCAGCCGGGAGCUUCGGCUCUGACGGGGCACACUAGGGGGACCGCCAGCGAAAAGCUGGAGGAAGGUGGGGGCCACGGUAGGUCAGUAUGCCGCGAUAUGGGCGGGGCCACACGCGUGCUACAAUGGCUGGGACAAUGCGUCACAACGCCGAAAGGUGAAGUCAAUCGCGAAACCCAGUCGUAGUCGGGAUCGCGGGUUGGAACUCACCCGCGUGAACCUGGAAUCCCUAGUAUCCGCGUGUCACUAUCGCGCGGAGAAUACGUCCCUGCUUCUUGCACACACCGCCCGUCGCUCCAUGCGAGCGGCCUUGGGGUGAGGUGUCGUCCAUUGGGCGAUGACGAAUCUUGGGGUCGCAAGUAGGGAGAAGUCGUAACAAGGUAUCCGUAGCGGAAGCUGCGGAUGGAUCACCUCCU